UGCUUAAAAUGCACAUGCUUGCUUUGUUUUAAUGUUUUGUGCAGUAGAUGACCUAUAGCACGUAUUAUGCUAAAGAAAAUUUGUGGUGAGCAAUCCUGACAUUGACCAUAAGGGCAUGAAGGAGGGCAGAUACUUCCUUAGGGUGAAACAAUGGAUGGUCUUGGAAAGCCAGAUCAUCCAUUAACAGAACUUUGUUCUGGCAUGAAAGCAUGCUGUUGAACCCAGGGGGAGUAUCUGCUAUCUUGAGAUGUCCUGGAGGCAAUGACAGGAUUGACUCAGAAAUUUUGCAUACCCAUAGGAGGAGGGUGAUUGUUCCUGGAAGGGAUGGGCCUGAAAUUAAUCAGUUAACCAGCAAGCAGAACUUAGUGCUUAUCGCAUGAAAUAUCCAAAGCCCCACAUCUUUGAUCACAUUUUUUUCUGAGCUGUAUACUCCUAAUAAAUAUAAUGUUGACCAGGCUUUCGGCACUCCAGAUCCACGAAAUGUCGAGUCCCCUGGUCCCAUCUUUGUUCUUUACUUUGUCUCUUUGUUUCUUAAGUCUUGCAUCGCCCGUCCUCAGACACGAUCCUGAGCUGCACUGGACACAGCAGAGGAGGCUCCACCAUCCACCUGAGUGGCUGAUGCUCUGGGAGGGGCCAGAUCAUCUGCACUACCACCAACUCUGUUUCAUUGUGUGAUUCCAGCCGUUUAUGCACAGGAGAGCAGGAGUGUAGCUUCAGCUUGUCCAUUUGAAAUCUGAGUGAUGUGAGAUUUGUGCCACAUUCUUGGCUUGCAUCUCCCGUCUAGUACUUCAGGAACUUCCAGAAUAGAUCUGGGCAGUAAAAAUGUGCCCUGCCGGGAUAUGUCUAUAACAGAGCCAUUCGACCACACGCUUGUGUUGUGCCUACCUUUAGUUGCUCUGAGAAUGAUCUAAGAAUUACAGGGCCAUUAUCAUUACUUAUGAAAAGGAAAAUAACCCAGAAGGUUGGUAUUCAAAGGCUAUGACAGAUGCAUUCCAGAAACUGCUGAUUGUGGUUUUAGAAAGCGGUAAAAUGGCUGUGGUGUACAGACCCUGUGAAGAGGUCACAGGUGCUAGGACUGAAGAGGACGUACAGGAUUUAAUUCAAGUCAGUUACUUUUCUUGGAAGCAGUGUGGCCAAGGGAAGGAAGAAUGUCUCUCAGAUUUCAGUUUUGAGGAGGAGGAGUUCAGAAGGCCGGAACUGGACUAGCCCUUUUGAAUUUCCCGGAAGGCUGGGCCCUGUGACUUCCUUGAGAAGCUCUGCACCA
This is a non-coding RNA of Vicugna pacos (alpaca), 1264 nucleotides long. The record is from RefSeq and is a predicted model, not a curated record. NCBI's taxonomy places the organism in Eukaryota, Metazoa, Chordata, Mammalia, Artiodactyla, Camelidae.